This 1427-nucleotide long non-coding RNA is filed under the name Sus scrofa (pig). Its description in RNAcentral is "lncRNA (ENSSSCG00065039362.1)". The record is from RNAcentral. Lineage: Eukaryota; Metazoa; Chordata; Mammalia; Artiodactyla; Suidae.
GAGACAGACCUGUCAAAUUUAGACAUUGGAUUAUUAAGAGAGGAUUGAACCCGCAACCUCAUGGUUCCUAAUCGGAUUCAUUUCUGCCAAACAAUACUAUUCUCAUGUCAAAGUGAAACAAAACAAAAUUUUAAAAUUCUAAAAUUAAUUCCACAAAUCCAAUUUACUUGAACUUGGAGUGACAAAGUCAAAGCCAGUCUCAUCAUCUGCACUUUAAUUUGAUAAACUGCAUUUGAAAAAAAAAAUAAUUGCAUCUGCUGCAAUGCAGAACUGACGAUUUUUUUUUUUUUUGCAUUUAUGUCAAAAUAACUGUGACACAGAUUUUUUUUUUUUUAAGUUGUAAUUCCGGGAAACCCAACAGAAUGUACCAUUCAUGAAAUUCCAUUAAAGCUGCAGGGCAACAUAGAGUUAAUGGCAUAUAAGGACAGGUGCAUAUACAUUACUUUCCAGUUCCUUGCCCCCGCUGGAAAAAAUGAUUACAACCACUUCCUAUAAACCUAGGCCACAAACAUUCUGCAAAGGUCCACAAGGAGCUUUUCUACUUAGCACAAUCCAGCAAUCUGAUCCCACAGUGUCAGGGGAGGCAUGUAGACAUUCAAAUCCUUUACCAACCACUAGCAAACGUCAAAGUGGACCCCUUGGAGGAACAGGGCUGGGUGAGGUAAGAUUCUAACUCAGCAUGAAAGGCAGGGGCCUGGCUACUUUCAGACACCCAGUCUCAAGUGGAUACCAAAUGCACUGGUAUCCAACACCUUGGCCUUUUCCCAGACUGCUGCCUGCACAGCUUCCUGCGUAGAUGGAAGCAGGGAGGGCCCUACAAGGCUGCACACACAAGCCCCAUCUUCCUCGGUGCGCCCAGACAGCACUAGCCAGAGGGUGGGAGCAUGGUCAGCUCUGGGCCAGUGGACAAAUAGCAUAACCACAUCUGGGACUGCUGGAUUUCUUGGGAUCUAGUUUGAAGGCUUUGGCCCUGGUUUGAGUCUUGUGCUGCGGACCUGUUUUUAGAUGUGAUUUUUUUUUUUUUUUAAAUACUCGUCUUUGAGAGAGGGGAAAAAAAAAAAAAAGGCCUAGGUGUUUCCGGAAUGUUUCUAACAGCUGGAGUAGUUGGGCCGGGGUGGUACCUUUGAGGUUCAGGGUAUCCCGAAGGAAUAACUGAAAUGGAGGCUUAAUGUAUUUAAUAUUACAUGUAUUUUAAUUUGGUUUUAAACUGAUACUGCAUUGUUUGAAAGAAAUUGAAAUAGUAUCAGAGAUGUGUUCACAGCAAUAUUUAUUGCCUUCCUGAGAGGUUUUGAAGUUCUAACUUAUGAUUCUUUAAAGUAACUAACACUAAAUAUAACCCCAAAUCCAAUAUGAUAGAAAAAAGUGAUUUUUGAUGUUAUUUUUCUCUUGUUCUUAAAUAAAUCUAGCGUAUAAUAAAUAUUUUCAGC